GCGUGGGUAGCGAAUGGGAUUAGAUACCCCAGUAGUCCACGCCCUAAACGAUCUUCACUAGCUUUUCGGAGUAUCGACCCUCUGAGAGGCGAAGCUAACGCGUUAAGUGAAGCGCCUGGGAAGUACGAUCGCAAGAUUAAAACUCAAAGGAAUAGACGGGGACUCGCACAAGCGGUGGAUUAUGUGGUUUAAUUCGUAGGUAAACGAAGAACCUUACCCAGAUUUGAAGCUCAGAUGAAAUCCUAAGAAACUAGGCCCUCGCAAGACAUCUGAGCAGGUGAUGCAUGGCCGUCGUCAGCUCGUGGUUUGAACUGUUCCCUUAAGUGGGCUAACGAGCGCAACCCUCGUCGUCUGUUACAAGUGUCAGGCGAGACCGCCCAGCCCAAAGAUCGCAAUGGGGUCUUCUGUGGAAUGAAAAAGUAUUUAUAUUUUUUCAUUCCACAGAGGAUCUUGUUGAUUGUGAUUUUCGGGCUGGGAGGAAGGAGAGGAUGACGCCAGGUCAGCAUGUCCCUUUGAUAUCUGGGGCCACACACAUAAUACAAUGGUUAUUACAAUGGGAUGCAAUGGAGCGAUCCGGAGCCAACCCUCAAAGAUAGCCCUAGUUCGGAUAGAAGUCUGCAACUCGACUUCUUGAAGCUGGAAUCGCUAGUAAUCGCAGGUCAGCCAAACUGCGGUGAAUACGUUCUCGAGUCUUGUACUCACCGCCCGUCAAUUCAAGGGAGCCGGUAGUACCCGAAGGCUCUCCAUAAGGAGGGACUACGGUAAGAUCGGUGACAGGGAAUAAGUCGUAACAAGGCACGGCUAGCGGAAGCUGGUCGUGGAUUAACUCAAAU
This 833-nucleotide ribosomal RNA is filed under the name Minisyncoccota bacterium. RNAcentral's name for it is "bacterial SSU rRNA". It matches the Rfam family "Bacterial small subunit ribosomal RNA", at positions 759 to 1533 of the family's 1533-position model. The record is from RNAcentral. Lineage: Bacteria; Bacillati; Minisyncoccota.